This 772-nucleotide ribosomal RNA is filed under the name uncultured fungus. RNAcentral's name for it is "eukaryotic LSU rRNA". The stretch from base 506 to 772 matches the Rfam family "Eukaryotic large subunit ribosomal RNA", at positions 1 to 263 of the family's 3401-position model. Lineage: Eukaryota; Fungi. The record is from RNAcentral.
UGUGCUGGCCAGCUCUGGCAAGUGCACGUCGGUGACUUUCAUCCAAUACCCUGUGAACCUUUGGCCUUUGCUAGCUUCGGCCGGCAGAGGAAUUUACACACACACUCGAAUGUAAUGAAAUUUAUUUUGUGCGCAAGCACUAAUGUACAACUUUCAACAACGGAUCUCUUGGCUCUCGCAUCGAUGAAGAACGCAGCGAAAUGCGAUAAGUAAUGUGAAUUGCAGAAUUCAGUGAAUCAUCGAAUCUUUGAACGCACCUUGCACCCUUUGGCAUUCCGAAGGGUAUGCUCGUUUGAGUGUCAUUGUACUCUCACACUCUCUAUCUUUGGAUCGGGAGCGGUGGACUUGGGUGUUGCUGCUUUACCGCGGCUCACCUCAAAUGAAUUCGUGCAACUCUUGGUUGGACAUAGUACGGCGUGAUAAGUGUCUUCGCCGGCACCUCAUUAGAGGGUGGCUGAUCGGGAGCUCUGUGCUUCAAACCGUCUUCGGACAAUAACUGACAACUUGACCUCAAAUCGAGUAGGACUACCCGCUGAACUUAAGCAUAUCAAUAAGCGGAGGAAAAGAAACUAACAAGGAUUCCCCUAGUAACGGCGAGUGAAGAGGGAAGAGCUCAAAUUUUGAAUCUGGCGUCUUUGGCGUCCGAAUUGUAAUCUAGAGAAGUGUUUUCCGUGACGGACCGUGCAUAAGUCUCCUGGAAUGGAGUGUCAUAGAGGGUGAGAAUCCCGUAUAUGGCACGGACUCCCGUUGCUCUGUGAUACACUCUCGACGA